RNAcentral lists this ribosomal RNA (119 nucleotides) under Setaria viridis. The record is from RNAcentral. Lineage: Eukaryota; Viridiplantae; Streptophyta; Magnoliopsida; Poales; Poaceae. RNAcentral also lists the same sequence under 2 other names.
GGAUGCGAUCAUACCAGCACUAAAGCACCGGAUCCCAUCAGAACUCCGAAGUUAAGCGCGCUUGGGCGAGAGUAGUACUAGGAUGGGUGACCUCCUGGGAAGUCCUCGUGUUGCAUUCC